CCUACGGGAGGCAGCAGUGAGGAAUAUUGGUCAAUGGACGAGAGUCUGAACCAGCCAAGUAGCGUGAAGGAUGACUGCCCUAUGUGUUGUAAACUUCUUUUAUCAAGGAAUAAAACGAGGCACGUGUGCCUUUUUGCAUGUACUUUAUGAAUAAGGAUCGGCUAACUCCGUGCCAGCAGCCGCGGUAAUACGGAGGAUCCGCGCGUUAUCCGGAUUUAUUGGGUUUAAAGGGAGCGUAGAUGGGUUGUUAAGUCAGUUGUGAAAGUUUGCGGCUCAAACGUAAAAUUGCAAUUGAUACUGGCAGUCUAGAGUACAGGUGAGGUAGGCGGAAUUCGUGGUGUAGCGGUGAAAUGCUUAGAUAUCACGAAGAACCCCGAGUGCGAAGGCAGCUUACUAAACUGUGACUGACAUUGAUGCUCGAAAGUGUGGGUAUCAAACAGGAUUAGAUACCCCUGUAGUC
RNAcentral lists this ribosomal RNA (460 nucleotides) under uncultured bacterium. Its description in RNAcentral is "partial 16S ribosomal RNA". It matches the Rfam family "Bacterial small subunit ribosomal RNA", at positions 338 to 795 of the family's 1533-position model. The record is from RNAcentral.